UUAGUCUUUUAAUUUGAGACUGGAAUGAAAGAGUAAACCGGGAGAAUUUUUUUUCAGUUGAGAAAAUGAAUUUUACUUUUUAGUAAGAAGGCUAAAAUUUAACUUUUAGACAAGAAGACCCUAUAAAACUUUAUAUUUUUAUUUCUUAGUUGAAAGAAGAAGUAUUUCGCUGGGGCGGUGGAGGAAAGCCCUUCCUUUAAAAAAAUAAACUUUCUUGUUUAAAUACCUAGAAAUUCUAAAUUAGAAAUAAGUUACUUUAGGGAUAACAGCUUAAUUUACUUAGAAAGAUCAAAUUGACAAGUAAGUUUAUGACCUCGAUGUUGAAUUAAAAGACCUUUUUUGUGCAAAAGCUAAAAA
RNAcentral lists this ribosomal RNA (357 nucleotides) under Androctonus amoreuxi. Its description in RNAcentral is "partial large subunit ribosomal RNA". Lineage: Eukaryota; Metazoa; Arthropoda; Arachnida; Scorpiones; Buthidae. The record is from RNAcentral.